AGAGUUUGAUCAUGGCUCAGAUUGAACGCUGGCGGCAUGCCUUACACAUGCAAGUCGAACGGUAACAGGUCUUCGGAUGCUGACGAGUGGCGAACGGGUGAGUAAUACAUCGGAACGUGCCCAAUCGUGGGGGAUAACACAUCGAAAGAUGUGCUAAUACCGCAUAAGAUCUACGGAUGAGAGCGGGGGAUCGCAAGACCUCGCGCGAAUGGAGCGGCCGAUGGCAGAUUAGGUAGUUGGUGGGGUAAAGGCUCACCAAGCCAACGAUCUGUAGCUGGUCUGAGAGGACGACCAGCCACACUGGGACUGAGACACGGCCCAGACUCCUACGGGAGGCAGCAGUGGGGAAUUUUGGACAAUGGGCGCAAGCCUGAUCCAGCAAUGCCGCGUGCAGGAUGAAGGCCUUCGGGUUGUAAACUGCUUUUGUACGGAGCGAAAAGGUCUCUUCUAAUACAGGAGGCCCAUGACGGUACCGUAAGAAUAAGCACCGGCUCACUACGUGCCAGCAGCCGCGGUAAUACGUAGGGUGCAAGCGUUAAUCGGAAUUACUGGGCGUAAAGCGUGCGCAGGCGGUGUUGUAAGACAGAGGUGAAAUCCCCGGGCUCAACCUGGGAACUGCCUUUGUGACUGCAACGCUAGAGUACGGCAGAGGGGGAUGGAAUUCCGCGUGUAGCAGUGAAAUGCGUAGAUAUGCGGAGGAACACCGAUGGCGAAGGCAAUCCCCUGGGCCUGUACUGACGCUCAUGCACGAAAGCGUGGGGAGCAAACAGGAUUAGAUACCCCGGUAGU
This 789-nucleotide ribosomal RNA is filed under the name uncultured bacterium. Its description in RNAcentral is "bacterial SSU rRNA". It matches the Rfam family "Bacterial small subunit ribosomal RNA", at positions 8 to 794 of the family's 1533-position model. The record is from RNAcentral.